GAAAACGCCAAGCUUCUAAUCAGGGCUUGGUCUUUCUGGUGACCAGCCCUGUCCAGAAGUCCCCCAAGAGUCACCUCGUUGGAACAAAAGAUGCUCCCAUCACCCAGGAAAUUCUAAGGGCUUUAGGAGCUCUGUGUCAGGGAACACUGGGAGAUCCUGGAGAGCAGCUGAUGACCAACAUUCCUCAAGGGUAGGAGGUUCAGGAACUUGCUCAGUGCCCUGCAGUGAGGACGUGCCAGGGCUGGGACUGGAGGCAGCCAGUGGGCUCCAGAAAAGCCUCACCAACACUCUGGAUGUAAACAUCAGUGAAGAAGUUCCAGUAACCAGCGCAUGAUAGCCCCACACAAUAUGGAUGUGUAUCUGACAGGAGAGCGAUGGAAAGGAACCAGAGAGAACGCAAAAUGUGAUGGAACAGCCUCUGCAGCUGCUAAGGACGCCGAGGUGGUAGUCAUAUGGAAAGGCAAGCACGCGAUUAGCAUGAAUGUCAGCGGAGUGGUUAGCUCUGGGGAAGGGAAGGCCAGCCAGGUUCUGGAAGACCAAAAUGUGUUAUUUCUGGAGCUGGGUGGUGACUUCUUGGGGCUUUGCUUUGUGAUAAGUCAUUGAGCUGUGUGCUUGUUUUGUGCCCUUUUCCAUAUGUGUAUUACAUUUCAAAAUAGGACAGGCUUAAAAAAAGAGGCAGAAACGCUCAGGAAAUGAAGUGUGUCACCCUUCAGAGGAAGGACCUGCCCUUGGAGUGCCACCAGCUGGAGCGGGCAGCGCCUUUGGAUCCAGGGCACCUUCUGCCUUCUCUCUUUACCCACCGGCCUGUCUUCCAGGUUCACCAACAAACUGGUGUUGGUGACACUUAAUUCUCCUGCUGAAUGGGAGGUAGAGCCUGGGGUGAAGCCUGGAGAAGUCAUCCACAGGGAUCCAGGGCCCAGCAAGGGGUCCAGGGCAGGGCAAAGCCAAGACUGUUCCCAGCCAGUUCCCAGGCAGGAUCAGGCAGAGACCAGCAGAGUCAGGCUCCCCUAGAAAUUGCCCCAAUGCAGAUCUGAAGGUGGGUGACACUCUGGCCUGUAAGGACACUCAUGCACAGAUACCAGGCACUUCCCAUGUACCAGGAGCAGUGCUUAGCCCUGGAGCCCAGGCACAAGCAAGACACCAUCCUUGGCUCAAGGGACUCCUGGCUGGUGAAGAUAAUUAUGGAAAACAACCAACCUGGGAACACAACAAAUCCUCUGAAAAUGAGGAAUGGCUGCCAUCUGUCUGGAGGCUCCCUGUGCCGGGCACCAGGCCGGGCAUCUGGGGUGCGUUAGGACUCAUGCUCAUGAGUGACUUUGCAGUGCAGAUAUCUUUAUGUCCAUUUCUGCCAAGGAGGUGAUUGAAUUCUAAGGCUCACUCAAGGUCAAAAAUCAUGGAGGGUCAGACUUGGAACACAGGUCUGUCUGACUCACCUUCCUUCCUCCCAGCUUUGGCUCCUAAUCCUUGCAUGAGGAGCCUCUGAAAGCGCCUUUUGCCAACAGCCAGCAGGGUGGGAGGCCCCAAGUGCACUGAGCAGAGCAUCUUGCCUGUAGCUGAUCUUGGCUAUGACCGCAGGGAAGAAAAGAGAUCCUGUGUUUUGGGGGUGAGGUGUGUGACUGGGGGAAGACAGUCCUGGCAGGGUGGAGGUGGUAGCAGGGGCCACCACUGAGUUCCAUGGCUGAGCUCAUUCUUGGCCUUUAAUCAUAGCCACUGGGUAGCUAGAAUGUCACAUCGUACUGGGGGCAGAGGGCCCAGGUAACUUCCCUCCAGACCAGGGGCAUGGGUGUCUUUCAAAGGAAGCAGGGAGGGCCCUCCAGCCCCGGCUCUCUGGUAGCAACUCGAGAAUAGAUCCUGGCCCUGUGUCCCUGCUGGAGGCUGCCAUUCUGCCAUCUGCUCAGCCUCUUGGGUCUGAAACAGCAUCUUCUGUUGAUACCGGAGCUCACGAAUCAGUCGUCUUCUCACUGUGGCCAGGGCACGCUGAGCAUUUCUCCAGGACAUCCUUCAUCGAUUGGGGAAGUCUUCUGCCUGGAAUGUGCUCCAUCUGCCUGCCUCUCCCUCCUCCUUCAAGGCUCAGCUGAAGUCUCCCUCUGCUGAAGCGUUCUUUGACAACUCGGUCUGGCCCCCCAUUUCUUCACACUUUGCACCCUGUCUUAGGCAAGUUGCAAGGUCCUUCAAAGGCAGGGAGCAGAGACGCACACAGAGCCACUGGAGCAAUGAGGGCAACUGUAAGCCUGCACAGCAGGGUCCCCACGGCACUGCUAGCUCUGAGUUCAGGACUCUACAGCAACACACAGCGGCUCAGGAGCUGCAGGAGCCCACAGCCGCAAUGCUCAUCCUGGCCAGCCUCCCUGGAGUGCCACACCCUGCCCCACCCCAAGGCCCACCGGCCAGAGCCUUGAGGCCUCAAAGCCAUCCCUUCCCUGUCGCCUGGCCCACUGGCAGCUGGAAACAUGCUGAGAGGGAAGGCCAGGGCUCAGGCGGGUCAGGGUCUCUGUGUCAGAUGAAGUCACGGAGGGCACGUGUGAGGCAAGAGGCUGGGGGGGAUGACAGCAAGCCACAAGUGGAGCCCUCGGCUAUGUGGAGCCCCGGAAGGAGUGGGAAAUGGCUGGACUGCAGUGUAGGAGACACCAUGGGAAGGAGGUCGUAGCUAGGACUGCCGGGCUACACUGGGUGUGGGGGUCUGAGCAAUGCGUAAGGCAGGAGGGAAUGUGGGUGUGUGGGCAGGGGACAGGGGUCUGGCUGCAGCCCUCAUCUCCUGCCAAGGCUUUUCCUCUGCCCUUGGGGUAACCCGACACCCAGCCAUACACCUGAGGUGCACGUAAGGGCUGCACCUCACCUGCCUCUCUUGGCUGCUCCAAUUGCAUUUGGAAGGUGUUGCAAAUUGCUCUGUGAUGUUCUGGAGCCAAACCAUGUCCCUGGCCCAUAGCCCAACCCCUGGGGCUUGGCGUCAGUGGCAUUGUCCCUGGAAGACAAGCUGCCUUUGAGGGUUUGAGGGUUUGGAGGGUUUGAAGGCUUUGGUUUGGCGGGCCCCGUCCACAGGGCUCUACCUGGCUGGGUCAAGCAGAAUCAGGGUGGUGAGAGGACACAGCCCUGGGCCACCCAAAGGUGCCCCUGUGAUGAACAAUGUAGAGGUUAGGAGUGUGUGCUCUGGUGUCAGACAGCCUGGGCUCCACUUACAAGCUGUGUGACCUUGGACAACUGACUGAGCCUCUCCGUGCCUCAGUGUUCUCAUCUGUAAAAUGGAACUGGUAAGAGUCCAUACCUCCUAACAGUGUUGUUAAGGUUAAAUGAGCUUAUACAAGUAAGCCACUGAGAGCAUCCCUAACUUGUGUGAGCGUCAUACAAAUGGAAGCCGGAAGCCACUAGGAUAGAAGGCAGAUUCCUCUGAGGGCAGAAUGAGGCCAGCCUCCCCUCUCCUGACCCUCCAGCCCUCUGUGAUCUGCCCCUGCCCAUCAUCCUGCCUCAUCUCUUAAGCACCCCUCCCUCUCCACAGCAGCUACACUGAGUCGCUGGUGCUUCUCUUGAGCCUGCUCAGGCCUCUGGUCCCAACAGGUGUCCUCCUCUGCCUGGGGCAACUUUCCCCUCUUUGUGGGGUCAACACCUACCUUUCACUUCCUUUCAUGACUCAGCUCAGGUGUCACCUCCUCCAGGAAGCCUUUCACUUAAUGCUGUGACAUGAUUAACCUCACUAAAGCCUGCAAGGUUUGAGCAAAUGGAGGCUCCUCUAAGAGGCAGAGCUGCUUGCCCAGGGGUAAGCUGGAGUGGGGAGUUGGGACUAGGCUCUAAAGCUUUAGAGAAAACCAGCUUUAGGGUUGCUAUUCCCCCUAGCCAGACUGCCUCUUGCUGUCGGCAUUUGUGGGGGACGCUGGAACAAGCCAUCCCAGUCCUGCUUCAGGACUGAGGGACUUAGUCCACAGCUGCUGGGAGGCUGCCCAUCAGCCUUUCCAGGAAUUGCCUUGGCCGAGGGGAGCUUCAUUGCCCAGGGCCAUCUUCUUCCUCAGAGGAUGCCCGUGCCUGUGUGGAAGAGCCUCAUGCGCAGAUAUAAAGGCUUGGUCUCUUGCCCCAACCUGGGACAACUCAGGGCAAUGCCAGCUCCAGAGCUGCCUGUGGCAUCAACUGAGGCCUCCACUGAGGCUGCUUCACAACCCAACUUCUCCCUCCACUCAAUCCCACCUUCAUCCCCCACCCCAACAUGGAGUCCCAGAGUGCUUCCCAGUGACAGUCCCGGAUGCUAAUCUAAAGCAGAGUCUGCUUCCAGGGAGCCCGGCCUGCAGCAGGUUCUUGCUUGGAGGCAUCUGAAUCUUGCUGGAAGGGAUUACAGAGAUGCCCAGAGCCUGCAGGCCAGGCUUGGGUGCUGUGCAGCAGGAAACGCUAUCAGGUCCCUGGGAUGACAUGGGUCAAUGCUCCCUCACUGCUGUGGCUGCUCCUAGGGCCGGAUGCCAGACCCCCGCCACACUGUCCCCAGACCAGUGGAAUACCUUCACAGCACAUGAAGGGUUGAACUUGACCCCAAAUUCAACCUGGUUUAUGGUGUGAGGGAUGGGCUAACCCAGGAAUGAAAGGGGAAGGAUGGCUUGUGUUUGCAAAGGGAGCUUCCUUUGCAAAAAACCAGGCCACUUAUGCCUUACUCCAGAGAAACAGUCUCUUAGAUUAGUUAAUUAAAAAUUCCUGAGGGCAGCAAUCACAGCCGAUUCAAUUCUGUCUCCAGGGUCUGGCACUGGGUUGGGAACUUCGGAACACUCAAUAUUUAUUGAGUGUGUAAAUGAAUGAAAGAAAGUGGCAUUAAAAAAAACCAAACAGGCCCCGGUGUGUGAUGUUCCCCUUCCUGUGUCCAAGUGUUCUCAUUGUUCAAUUCCUACCUAUGAGUGAGAACAUGCAGUGUUUGGUUUUUUGUCCUUGCGAUAGUUUGCUGAGAAUGAUGGUUUCCAGCUUCAUCCAUGUCCCUACAAAGGACAUGAACUCAUCAUUUUUUAUAGCUGCAUGGGGCCUGUUGUGGGGUGAGGAGAGAGGGGAGGAAUAGCAUUAGGAGAUAUACCUAAUGUAAAUGACGAGUUAAUGGGUGCA
RNAcentral lists this long non-coding RNA (5064 nucleotides) under Homo sapiens (human). RNAcentral's name for it is "HSALNT0038992". Lineage: Eukaryota; Metazoa; Chordata; Mammalia; Primates; Hominidae. The record is from RNAcentral.